UACGUAGGGUGCAAGCGUUAUCCGGAAUUAUUGGGCGUAAAGAGCUCGUAGGCGGUUUGUCGCGUCUGCUGUGAAAACUGGAGGCUCAACCUCCAGCCUGCAGUGGGUACGGGUAGACUAGAGUGCGGUAGGGGAGAUUGGAAUUCCUGGUGUAGCGGUGGAAUGCGCAGAUAUCAGGAGGAACACCGAUGGCGAAGGCAGAUCUCUGGGCCGUAACUGACGCUGAGGAGCGAAAGCGUGGGGAGCGAACAGG
RNAcentral lists this ribosomal RNA (253 nucleotides) under uncultured bacterium. RNAcentral's name for it is "partial 16S ribosomal RNA". It matches the Rfam family "Bacterial small subunit ribosomal RNA", at positions 524 to 776 of the family's 1533-position model. The record is from RNAcentral.